Non-coding RNA from Delphinapterus leucas (beluga whale), 6083 nucleotides. The record is from RefSeq and is a predicted model, not a curated record. NCBI's taxonomy places the organism in Eukaryota, Metazoa, Chordata, Mammalia, Artiodactyla, Monodontidae.
UGAUGGACCUUUUUGGUUGAGAAAGGUCAACUCUCUGGGUUUAGCCUAAGUGGGCCAGGAGGAUACAAAGAGAGAUCAGUUACUCCAAAUAAUAAGAUGAAAGAAAUCUGAAUUUUCAUUGGAUGCCCUAGAAAAAGAGAAUGAGGCCUAGGAAAGAAAGUAGAGGGAGGUUGGUAAAAAGAACUGAGAUGGGAUACAUGCCAGAAACACGGCAGGAGGCAGGGGCCUACUGGAGGACAUGGCUGGUGAGAAGUGGCUGUCCUGAGAGAAUGGCUGUCACAUUGCUAUAAGCAGUCAUGUGUGCACUGAAUUUGAAGUUGUUUUCCGCUUUGUGCCAUAGCCUUCCAUUAACUCUAAAUCUUUCAUGCAAUUUGGAUACAUCUGAUUAUCUUGGUGGUGGAUCAUUUGGAGGAAUGAAGGAUGAGGAGUGGCACAUCAUGGGCAAGAAGGCAAUAGCUAAAGGAACAGGAGACAGUACAAGCAGACUGCAUCGUGGUCUAACCCAGGAGACACAGAAGCAACCUUGGAAACUCUUGCAGAAAUUGAGUCUCAGGACUGACCAUAGUGGUUGGAAAUGGGACUCGGGCCAUUUUUGUACUGAAAGAAUAACCCUAAACACUAAAUUGUUUGGAGUUGUCCAGGUUAGAAACUUCUGGGUUAUAUUCAAGUGGAAAAGAAAUUUUGUUGAGCCACAGUAAAAGAAAUUUGGUUUAUUAGCAGCAUUUGUCAGUCUCCUCCUUGCCGUAUGGUAAUUACCUUCCAGAACAGCAGACUCUUCUGGGUUUCCUUGUGCUUUAUCAGGCACUUAUCAGUUUCCUUUGCUAGUUCCUCCUUUUCUUCCUGAUCUCUUGAUCACAGUGUGCCACAGGGCUCAGUCAUCCAUACUUUCCUCUAUCAACGGACACUCAGUCCUUGGUGAUCUCAUCCAGCCUCUUGCUACUACAUACCGUCCAUAUGUUGACAGUUCCCAGAUUUGUAUUUCCUAGACUUCUCUCCUGAACUCCAGACACAUAUAUCUAUUGCCCACUUGACAUCCCCACUUAUAUGUCUAAAACUCAUCUCAGACUUUACAUGUUCAAUGGUACAUUUCUGGUCUUCCUCCCAAAAAAUACACCACUCAUGGCUUUCUUCAUCUCAGUUGAUGGCAGCUCUGUCCAUCCUCUCAAGCCAUAAAACAUGAGUCAUCCUUUAUGACUCUUUUUCUGUUAUCCUCCAUCUCUAAUUUGACAGGAAAUUCUGUUGUUUUUACCAUCAGAAUAUAUCCAGAAUCUGCCCAUUUCCACCAUCUCUGCUUCUACCACCUGAGUCAGAGCCUCUGUCAUCUCUCAACACAAUCACCCCAAAGUCUCCUAACUGACCUCCCUGCUUCCACCUUUCCCUGCCUCACAGCCAACAAAGAUCCUUUUAAAGCCUAUGUAAUUAAAGCGUAUUAUUCACUCCUUUGUCUCUCGUUUCAUUCAGAGUAAAAGCCAAAGUUCUUACGGUGGUCUUAUCUGAUCUUCACUGAUUCCUGCUUUAGACAAAGAUACAUCUUGGUAAAUCAUAGUUCUUCAUUGCAGGCCAGGCUGUAUCCAUCCACUCUACCAACUGCCAAAAACAAAAUGUUAAAAAGGUGAAUGCAAGCCUAGCAAAAUUACAGAUCAGUAGCUUUUCUGCCUGUGGACAGAUUGGACAUUCCUUAUUCAAAGCAGUGGUUGAGUAAGAUGUGACUUGGGGGUGAGCAGGUAGAGAGAGAAAUCCUGAUAUCAGCCACUUUCUUGCUAAUGAGCACAUUAUCUGUAGUUUUGGUGUAUCCUCUAGAGGUUUCUAAUAUGCAGAAUGAUCUACUUCUGAGCCUCUUUAGGCCAUUAAGUUUAGGCCAUUAAGUUCUUUGGCAUUGAUGACGAAUUUCCUGUGGCAAGGAAAUCAUUUUUACUUUUGUCAGCUAUUCUAAAAGUCAGUAGAUUGAUGCAGUUGGUUCUGAAAAUACCUGCCAACAUUCUGAGGUCCAAGCCCUUACCUCCUGCCUUCUAGACUAAUGAUUCUCAAUCAUGGGCCACUGUGUCCCCCAGGGGACAUUUGGCAAUGUCUGGAGAUGUUUUUGGUUGUCACAGGGUGACAGGUGGGAGGUGCUACUGGCAUCAGGUGGGCCAAGGAUGUGGCCGAGCACCCACCAAUGCACAGGACAAACCCCCCAUAACAAAGGAUUACGCAGCCCAAAAUGGCAGUAGUGCUGAGGUUGAGAAACCGCCAUCUAGACUAUUCUGGCGGACUUUUAAUCUACCUUGUGCCCCAUUGCCAAACCAGCAUUCCUAAACCGUCACAUUUAUCCAUCACUCCUAAGUUCCAGUAGCCCCCAUAGCUCUUCAUUGCCUGAAAGAUCAAGUCUCUCCUUCUCAUCCUGGCGUUUAGAUCCUGAGGUGUUUUGCACACUUAAUGUAUCCAUUCCCUAGCAGGAACUCUGCUUCUCCUAAGCUUUCAUUGGCACCAUCCUUCACACUACCAUCCUUUUACUGACGUUAACCCCCCAAACACACAACCGGUGAGGACCCUCCCCACAGCUCUCCUCUGAUCCAACUCUUACCCUCUGAAGUCCACACGUGUGGCACACCCCUUGCCACUGAGUCAGUCUAUGCCACCCCCUUCUGUACAUAUCAGGGCUCACAUGUCUACACCGUUAUACAGCUAUUCCCUCUAUUUUGUCUCCUCAAUAAACUCUUUGAAGGGGUCCAUAUUGUAUUUCUGGCCUAUCGAUCUCAGUUUCCACAGCGUAAGGUGUGAAAACCAUAUUGUUGUAUUGAGAGUUCCUUGUUGUGAGAGUCAAAUGAGCAUAAAAAGUACCUUGCAUAGGGCCUGGUACCCAGUUUAUUGCUCAGAAAAUUACAGAAUCAUAGUAUCUAUAGAAGCAUACAUUCAGGAGUCCAUAGCAAGUGCUUAAUAAAUCUUUUAAAUGUAAUUACAGACUGGAGAGAGCAUGCAUUCAGACCAGCCUGGUAUUUGGAACUAACAGCAAAGAAAAACUUCCAUCAGAAAUCCUACACCAAUUAACACUCCUUCAUGCUAGAGUGAAUCCAGGAGCAGUGGGUGUCACAUUUUCCCAAAGUGGAGCCUAAGCCAACCUUUCUGCAUUUAACAAGUUAAUGAACAGCUUGUGAGUAACACUUUGCCCACUCUGGCCCAAUUUAGAAGGCUGCCAAAAGGAUAAGAUGUCAAUAUGCCACUCUCUGCUUUGCCACGGUGCCAGCUGCAUCCUGCCUAAGUGCUUCUGCCCUCAGCCACUGGAGAGCAUGAUGUCCUUAGAGAAGGCAGCACCAGUAGGAUGAGGCUGCAGCGCGGGCCUGGCCUUUCCCCAAGCGGAAGAGAGCCUUGUCUCGGAUCCUGUGAGAGAAGAUGCCCUGAUUCUGCAGUGCAGCUGCUAGGAGAGAGGAGCAGCACAGGGUCACCACCUCACCUAGCUCGAUAGGUGUCCUAACGGCAUGGCCACCAGGUAUCAGACAGACCCCCUUGGCCUGGUCCCUGCACUGUCCCAGGCCCACCUUGGACACCUCCAUUAUACUCAUGAAGAACAGAGCCCGUGGAGUGGAGGACCCUCCUGCAUGGCCUGCAGGUGACAUGGAAAUAGCAGCUGAGGACACAGAAAUGCUGGACCUCUAUUCUCCUUCACAGCCACUGCCACAGUCCCCGGCUGCAGACUCAGUCUCAGCACGGCAGCAGCGUAAACCCAGCGGAUUGUUGGUGGCACCUCAGCACCCAGAGCAUUCUUCUUGGAGGAGUGGGGACAAAGGCCAAGUGGCUGUUACCUGCACACAGGAGAGAUGACCAGGUCAGACAAAGGGCCUAGAAGGCAGACAGAUGAGUCAGUGAAGACUUUGUCCACCCGUGAGAGGGGGUCCAGGUGGGAUCUGUGUACCCUGCCCAACCUUGCUGAGGGCCAUCAAGCCAGCUCAAGGGCAAGGCCAAGACCAGCCAGACUAACAAGCAGCCUGGCCAUAGGUUUUGGCUGCUGUCCUUAACCCUCAAUCCCAGAAGCAUGAGAAAGAGAAAGGGCAUCACCUGUGCCCAGGGACUGAGCCGUCCCAAUUCAGGGAGCAUAACUGCUGUUCUAGCCGGGAGAUGCGGAACGCCAGGUACGAUGAAGACAUGACCAAGAAGCAGGUCCUGGAGAAAGAGGGGUAAGGAGGAAUUGAAUCUCUCUUCUAGAAAAGGGGCAUUUUUACAGAAUCCCCCAAAAUAGGAGUGGGACUAAACUAGUUCCUGCCGUUGGAAGAAUUAAAGAACCUUUUGCCUGCAGUUACGUUCUAGACCUAGGCAUCUUUUUUCCCAGAGGCCACAUGGGGGUCCUGAGACUCGUCCCCAUGGAGGUGUCCUUGAAGCCCAGCAGGAGUUCUGGGUCCUUCAGCUGAGCCCACCUUCCCUCUGACCAGCCACCUUGGUCCUACACCCCCUCUGCAAGGCCACUAAGAUUACCCCCUAAGGCGGUAGCCCUUCCCCCAGCAAGUGCUGAGGUUGACAGUCAAAACCCAGCCAGCAGAGCCAGAGGAAGGUGAUGAGGUAAGGUGAGGGAAUCCAGGGGCUGGCUCUUCAUAAAACAUCCCACCAUGCUCACUGCUCUACUUAGGCAGAAUUACAGACAAGCCUGGGUUUCCAGAAAACACCCCAAUGGUGGGCAGCGGGAAGGCCAUGGCUCUCCCUUAGUCUAUCUGAUGGGCCUCUCAGAUUUUGCCAACCCUCCUCCUCCCCAAUCCUGUGCAACUUUUUCUUUCUUCAACAGCUUCACGUCUUGCCCCUCUCCACAGCCUUAACCCUAAAUUACAGGGUUGUAAGGAUGAAAACUGGAAAUACUUUAUCUUGCUCUAGAAGAGCCUGCUGCACGGCUGCCAGAUGCCACCCGGGAGCUUGCAGUUGACUCAGAACCUUCCCCUCGCUCUGGACACUGACCUCCCCACAUACCAAGGCCCUGGCUCUGAACACUCAGACACCCACCACCCUCCAUACAGCCACCUACAGCACGAGGAAGACCUUCAGGAGCCCGUGAUCCCAGAGCCUCUGCUCCCCGUUGCUCUGGGGCUCGUCCUCCAGCCCCUUCUCCUCAUAGUCAGCGUUCUCUGCAACAGGACGGCAUUAGGCAUCUUCCUGGGCAGAAGGCAGGGCCCCAGCCCACUCCCCCGCCCAUGUUCUCUGGAGCCGCUUUGGCUCUUGGCUUUCCCUUAUGGAUUUGGAGAAAGAAAGAAACAGCUCUCAGAAGCCCUGCUGGCUGUGAUGACCUCUUUUUGCAGAAGUGGGAGGCGGGACAGCCUGGUCUUUGGAAGCAGUUGCCAUGGACAAGCACGCUGAACUCACCAGACCCCGGAGGCUUCCUGGAGGGGAAGCAGUCAUCCGUGGAGUCCGUGGAUGCCCGAGGGAUACAAGGGAUGUUGUCUGGGAGGGACAGGGACCUGGAGGCAGGGCACACUUUUCUCCACUUCAUCUCAGGGAUGAGGACUUCCUGCAGAGAAGGCAGGAGAAGCUGUCUCACCAUGGCCCUUGGGACCUCACUUGCCCUAAGGGGUUCACGCUAGAUUGAUCAAAGCCUUUCCAGAUAUUAUCAAUAUGGAUGCCUAGCAAGCAUGAAAGCAGGUGUCCAGAAGCGGGGAAACCACUGCCAUAGCAAUCACAUGUCUCAUCUGCUCCCUUGCUGUGACCAGCCACUCUUCCAGGGAAUGUUGUCUUUGAAGACUGCUAGUGUAGAACCACAGUGGAGUCUAAGACAUGAGCCAUCCCAGGUACGUGUUCAGAUCGGCUGAGUCCAAGACAGCUUGGCACUGUAUAUCUUAGAUGGAAUAAGUUGUGACUCCUGCUAAUCUGGGCUCUAACCCUAUGUCACUGACCUUGACUUAAGGUCCCCAUCAAUAAAAAGGGGAACAUCGCCUUCCAUCCCCUGCAUGGCAUUGUGCGUAUUGUAUGCUUGGCUAAACGCUUAAUAGUUACUCAAGUAGACUUCAAACACCCUGGGGUCAUUUCCACCCCCCACCCCUGCUCUAGAAACUCUGCUUACCCAGGAUCCCAGGAGCAAAAGAAACAGCUGGGACCUUGGCCAAUCUAAAAGGAUCCUGCCUCAGUUCUGA